UACAGAGGGUGCGAGCGUUAAUCGGAAUUACUGGGCGUAAAGCGUGCGUAGACGGUUAUUUAAGUCGGGUGUGAAAGCCCCGGGCUCAACCUGGGAAUUGCAUUCGAGACUGAAUAGCUAGGGUACGGUAGAGGGAAGUGGAAUUCCCGGUGUAGCGGUGAAAUGCGUAGAUAUCGGAAGGAACAUCAGUGGCGAAAGCGACUUCCUGGACCAGUACCGACGUUCAGGCACGAAAGCGCGGGGAGCAAACAGG
Molecule: ribosomal RNA, 253 nt
Filed under: uncultured bacterium
Lineage: Bacteria
Description: partial 16S ribosomal RNA
Rfam family: Bacterial small subunit ribosomal RNA
Source: RNAcentral